This 1869-nucleotide long non-coding RNA is filed under the name Coturnix japonica (Japanese quail). RNAcentral's name for it is "lncRNA (ENSCJPG00005018331.1)". Lineage: Eukaryota; Metazoa; Chordata; Aves; Galliformes; Phasianidae. The record is from RNAcentral.
UGAAGAUAAGGUGCAGCUACAGUGAAAGGGCCAUUUUCUAGCAAGAGAACAGCAAUAUAUUCAAAUAGAGAAGGGGGAAAUACAGUCUACUCCCCGCCAUCCCACCCUCUACUCCCCCAGCUUUUCUCUCUAGCAUUUGCUUCUGUGAUUGUUAUCUGCUGUCUAAUGAAUUUAUUCCUUCUUUUCCCUGUCAUAUUUCACACUGCUGUAAGUCCUGCUCAGCAUGCAUGAAUCUCAGGAACAGCCCCAUGCAGCACUAACCUCAACGUGGGACGAUUUAAUGAGGUACUACCCAAGGUGGUCCUCACAGAGUAUUGGGAGGCACAGAUUCCGUAUAUUUUGGCUAGCUGUACACCUUACUGAAAGCAUCACUUGACAAGAUAUAUUUCCAAUUUGUCUGAGAUUAUUACUCCAAGGACAGUACAAGUUCACACAUUUAACAGUAUUCAUAAAAUAUCUCACGUCUCUCUAUCUUGUAAGCUUCCCUUAUCUCUCGUGCUGCAGGGAUAUUUAGUUAGUUCUUUGGGGGAGGGAGUGGUUGUUUUGGGUUUAUUUAUUUAUUUGUUUUUAUUAACAUUAUUAUUGAGGAAUAGAAGUUUAAAAAGUUCUGCAAAAGUUGUUAUGUCUCCUUUUGGGAAAUGUCUUUGCUCUUUCUUUUCUCAGUUCCUUGCUCCAUGCCAGCCCAGGCAGCAAGGGCAGCUGUGGUCAAAGACCUGCCAGGAGAGGGAGGGGGAUGCAACCCUUACAGCCCUGCAAUGAGGUCCCCUUCUGCAGGAAACAGAGGUGUGACUCUUUUCAAUAGAGGAGUCCCAAAGGCUUUAUCCAAACCCACAUACCUAUGCACAGCCCAGCCGCCCACAGCAGGGUGAGAUCCAGAUGAACACCAGCCUUUUCCCUGAGGGGUGAAGAAAAGACAUUCUCCUCUGUCCUGAAAGAGAAAAAAAAUUUCAAGUGAGUGCCCUGCAGAAGGAGAGGCUGCAUACUGAGUUUAGCAUUACUUGUGCUGUUUGAAGAACUAACAGGUUAUUCAGCAUCCAUGAGCUCUGGCCUGACAUAUGAAUGUCUCCUCCAGCCCAGGUUUGAAAAGUGGAAUAGAGAAAGAGGGAAUCAACAAGAGGGACGAGCAAUGUUGUGAGAUGAGCCAAGCAACAUGAGCAGGAUCCAGAAGUGCUAACAGAGGAAAUCAAAGGAAGGAUUAAGUGUAACGUGGGCACAGAGAGAGCUGGCAUUAUUGAGACAGGGAUUUGUGAAGUACAUUCAGACACAAAGUGGUGAGAAGUUGGAGUCAGUUGGUACGUGACUGUUAAAUUCUUGGAACUGCUACUGUUGAAUCAAUUGUUGAAAUUGGUUAUUGUUGAAUAAUGGAAUUGUUAUUUAUUAUCUAGUUACCUGCUCAAGAGUUCCUCUUUGAAGUGUUUACAUGUUAGCACUUAUAUCUGAUCAUUGGAGAAGAGGCUUCUCCAAUGUGAAUGUGAAUGUGAAUGGCUGUGCAGAUAUACUUCCAGCACAUAAAAUACAGAGUAUGAGAAACUGUGACAUUUAGACCUAAAUAAUAUUAGUCGUCUUACUUCUCCCACAGGACCAAUCAAAUCACCUCACUUGAAAGCAAUCCACAAUUAAACACUGUAAACAUAGGAAAAAAACCAACAACAACAACAAAAAAAAAAAAGAAAAAAAAAAAGAAAAAAACAACUUACUUGCUGAAGUGUAUUGGCUGCUUCACUUCUACAAGCUUGCUGAAGAACUGCAAAAACAGGGAAUGGCAGCAUUUAUAUUUCCUACUGACAGAGCCAUGCUUUAUUACCCAAUUACCAUAUGCCAUAGGCCAUGCUCUAGAAUGUGAUCCUCUCCUAAAUCACCCUUUGCCAG